RNAcentral lists this ribosomal RNA (253 nucleotides) under uncultured bacterium. RNAcentral's name for it is "partial 16S ribosomal RNA". It matches the Rfam family "Bacterial small subunit ribosomal RNA", at positions 524 to 776 of the family's 1533-position model. The record is from RNAcentral.
UACGAAGGGGGCUAGCGUUGCUCGGAAUUACUGGGCGUAAAGCGCGCGUAGGCGGCUUUGCAAGUCGGGUGUGAAAUCCCCAGGCUUAACCUGGGAACUGCAUUCGAGACUGCAUUGCUAGAGUAUGGGAGAGGGAAGUGGAAUUUCCGGUGUAGCGGUGAAAUGCGUAGAUAUCGGAAGGAACAUCAGUGGCGAAAGCGGCUUCCUGGUCCAGCACCGACGUUCAGGCACGAAAGCGUGGGGAGCAAACAGG